Molecule: unclassified non-coding RNA, 247 nt
Filed under: uncultured fungus
Lineage: Eukaryota; Fungi
Description: sequence contains ITS1, 5.8S rRNA gene
Rfam family: 5.8S ribosomal RNA (bases 199-247)
Source: RNAcentral
UUUCCGUAGGUGAACCUGCGGAAGGAUCAUUACUGAGUUCUCCUGCCCGUAAAAGGGUAGCAACUCCCACCCGUGUGUACCUUAUACCUUUGUUGCUUUGGCGGGCCGCCUCGGCGCCGGCUCCGGCUGGAUCGUGCCCGCCAGAGGACCUCCAACUCUGUCGUUUAGUGUCGUCUGAGGAAACUAUCUAAUAGUUAAAACUUUCAACAACGGAUCUCUUGGCUCUGGCAUCGAUGAAGAACGCAGC